Molecule: long non-coding RNA, 3109 nt
Filed under: Homo sapiens (human)
Lineage: Eukaryota; Metazoa; Chordata; Mammalia; Primates; Hominidae
Description: non-protein coding lnc-ELF1-2:7
Source: RNAcentral
UGUUCUUUUAGACUCUAGGUGAGCUUGUAGUAAUCCAAGGACUGGUGAUUUAGGCCACUGAGUUCUGGCUUUGAGUACAUCUCUAAUUCCUAAACCUUCACUAAGAGGGAGGUGAAGGGAGUCAGGUGUGCCACAUGUCUGCUACUGAAAAAUGCCUAGAUGGGAAAGGAGUUUGAAAUAUUGUCCUAAAAUGAAGUUUCUGAGUUAGAUGGACCGAAUUUCACCAUGUGUUCACUGUUAUUACUGUGUAAAAUCAAGAGAUUUAAAUGAGAUUACGAUUAUUAAUUAGCUUUCUGAGAUAUUGAAACCUAAGAACCUGGCCGGGUGCGGUGGCUCACGCCUGUAAUCUCAGCACUUUGGGAGGCUGAGGUGAGCGGAUCACCUGAGGUCAGGAGUUCGAGACCAGCCUGGCUAACAUGGUGAAACUCUGUCUCUACCAAAAAUAUAAAAAUUAGCCAGGCGUCGUGGCGCAGGCCUGUAAUCCUGGCUACUUGGGAGGCUGAGGCAGGAGAAUCGCUUGAACCCGGGAGGUGGAGGUUGCAGUGACCCAAGAUCAUGCCACUGCACUCCAGCCUGGGUGACAGAGUGAGACUAUGUCUCAAAAAGAAAAAAGGAAAACAAAAAAGAAAACUAAGAACCCAAUUACCUCUGCCACAUACAUGGGCUGUCUUUGGUUAAUGUGAUGACAUACUAAGCCCCAAACUGGUAUAUAUAAUCUCUGGUCACUUCUACACCAAAGCUGUUAACUUAACUUGGCAAUGAAGGCCGUAUGGAAAAUCGAGGACCAGGGAGAGUACCUUGCCAGCAAUUUUGUAGUUAUGAUUUUCGAUGAAGAGCUGCACAGUAAUAGGGGAAAUUCUGAAUGGUAUUCAAGUCCUCCAGCCAGCAGCAGCAGGAUGUGGUUUUCAAUGUGCACUAUGCAAGUAGCGCUUCAGAUGGAGCUUAUUCUUAUUUUUAAUUUAUUUUUUAUUUUAUUAAUUCAUUUGUUUUUAUAUAUUUUAAGAUUUAUUGACAUAAAAAUUAUAUAUGGUGUACAAUUUGAUGGUUGAUAUGCACAUGCGUUGUGAAAUGAUCAUCAAAAUCAAGAUAAUUAACACAUUAUCACCUCUCCGUAGUUACUAUUUUGUGGAUGCAUGUGUUUUUAUUUUAUUUCUGAAAUAAUUUUAGACUUACAGAAAAUUUGAAGAAAUAGUACAGAGUUCACAUAUUUCUACCACUUUGCUUCCCUGAUGUUAAAAACUUAUAUAACUGUAGUUCAGUAAUCAAAAUGAGGAAAUUAACUUUGAUACAAUACUAUGAAUUAAACUAUAGCCCUUUGAUUUUCACCAUCUCCUCCCACCCCUACCAUGCCUUUUUAAUAUUCCAGGAUAUAAUCUAAGAUGCCACGUUGCAUUCAUUCGUGUCCCCUCAGUUUCCUCCAAUCUGUGACAGUUGUUCCGUAUUUCCUUGUCUUUCAUGGACUCUUGAUGAGUACUGGCCAGCUUUUUUGUAGAAUGAUCCUCAGUUUGGUUUUGUCCACGUUUUCCUCAUGAUUAGACUAAGGUGAUGUGUUUGGGGGAAGAAGAUCACAAGGUGAAAUGCCCUUGUUAUUUCCUAUCGGGGUACAGGAUGCCAACGUGGCUUAUUAGUGAUAUUUACCACGAUCACUUGGUUAAGGUGGAAUCUCCCAGGUUUCAUUACUGUAAGUUACUUUUCUCCCUUUGUAAAUGAUAAACAUCUUGGAGAGAUGCUUUAGAUAGGGUCUGGGUCUCAUUUUUUGUAGAGCUGGUCUUGAACUCCUGGUCCCUUUUUUUUUAGAGCUGGUCUUGAACUCCUCCUGCCUCAGCCUCCCAAAAUGCCAGGAUUAGCUGUGUGAGCCAUGCUUAUACCACUGGGCGUGAUGGUGUUGUUUUUAUUGAUCACAAUGUGCUUCAAGGUAAAUACUACUUCAGCAUGAUACCCAUUUUUUAAAGCUUAAAAAUAAAUAUGGCAAAAUAAUAUAUUUUUAGAUAUAUCUAUAUUUAUACCUACACCUGCCCUCUCUAUACAUAGAUAUAUAUGUAGACUAUAAAGAAAAGCACAGGGAUUAUGGACAUAACCUUCAGAAGAGUGGUCAUCUCUGUGAUGAAGCAAGGGGACUGGAUCAGAGAAGAAAUUCCAGCAGUCCUGUAGCUUCCACAGGACUAGAAAUAUUUCAUUCUGCAUGAAGUGAUGGGUGUAUGGAUGUUAUUUAAUUGUUAUGCUUCAUAACUUAGAUUCACAUCCCACUUUGAGAAUAUCUCCUAUAGAAACAAAGGACUUGUAUUUAAGAAUGUGUAAGAAGAGUCACCACGGAGCUGACAUGGAGGCUGGUGGCACCUGGGCGCAACGCCGUAUGCCAACUAGCCUACCGCGUGGAUCACGGAGCUCACUGACGAGAAUGUCAAGUUCAUCAUAUAUAUAUAUGUAGAUGUGACUUAAUAUUUCAAUGAGAAACACUGAAAUAAAAAAAAACCAAAAAGCAUUUCCACCAUCCAUCAGUUGCUAAGUAGCCAUGUGCCCCACCUAAUGUAAUCUAAUUUAUCAUGUAAUUUUGGUUUAAGCUGGACAUUAAGACUUGCAAAGAAAUGGCUUUUGCCUAAGAUUAAUAGUAACUACUAAUAUUCUUUUUCUUCAAUCUGCAAAGGUAAUGUUAAUGAAACUUGCAUGUUAAAAUUCUGUAAUUAUAAGUAAAGUGUUUUACUAAGUACCUUAAAGGAAGUCGUGCAGUUUCUAGACAAGAAGCAUCCAAACCACUAUCAAGUCUACAAUCUAUGCACUUCAUUAUUUACUGUGUUAUUACCUGUAGAGAUAUAACAUACAUAUUAUUUAUUUUAGGUGAAAGAGCUUAUGAUCCUAAGCACUUCCAUAUUAGGGUCAGUAGAAUCAUGAUUGAUGAUCAUUAUGUCCCCACUCUACAGUAAGUUUUAUGCUAAGUUGACUAUCAGAAGAGGGCUAAAUAUAUUGGGCUUGGUUUUCUGAAAAUAUUUUAAUUUAACUAAAAAUAUUAAACUUGAAAUCAGUAAGAUGGUGGUAUUCUCCAAGGAAGUAAAUGAGUGGAUGACUCAAGAUCCUGAAAACAUCAUAGUGAUUCACUGUAAAGGAGGCAAAG